Acyrthosiphon pisum (pea aphid) is the source of this 1026-nucleotide non-coding RNA. Lineage: Eukaryota; Metazoa; Arthropoda; Insecta; Hemiptera; Aphididae. The record is from Rfam.
UCCCUGGUUGAUCCUGCCAGUAGUCAUAUGCUUGUCUCAAAGAUUAAGCCAUGCAUGUCUCAGUGCAAGCCGCAUUAAGGUGAAACCGCGAAAGGCUCAUUAAAUCAGUUGUGGUUCCUUAGAUCGUACCCAAGUUACUUGGAUAACUGUGGUAAUUCUAGAGCUAAUACAUGCCGACAGAGUUCCGACCGUCGCGGCGCCCUCGGGCGUCGCUCGCGGGAGGAACGCUUUUAUUAGAUCAAAACCGGCCCGUCGCGGCGCGCUUCGUGCGCGUCCCGAUCGCGGCCCGCGCAAAGACCUGGUGACUCUGAAUAACUUCGAGCUGAUCGCACGGUCUCCGUACCGGCGACGCAUCUUUCAAAUGUCUGCCUUAUCAACUGUCGAUGGUAGGUUCCAUGCCUACCAUGGUGGUAACGGGUAACGGGGAAUCAGGGUUCGAUUCCGGAGAGGGAGCCUGAGAAACGGCUACCACAUCCAAGGAAGGCAGCAGGCGCGCAAAUUACCCACUCCCGGAACGGGGAGGUAGUGACGAAAAAUAACGAUACGGGACUCAUCCGAGGCCCCGUAAUCGGAAUGAGAACACUUUAAAACCUUUAAACGAGGAUCAAUUGGAGGGCAAGUCUGGUGCCAGCAGCCGCGGUAAUUCCAGCUCCAAUAGCGUAUAUUAAAGUUGUUGCGGUUAAAAAGCUCGUAGUCGGAUCUGUGUCUGGACGGUGCCGGACCACUCUGGCGGUCCGUCGUGUCGCGGCCGGCCGUGUCGCGGGACCACGUGUCCCGUCGGCGCGGUCGCCGUCGCGCUCGUCAGCCGUCUCGGGGUGUUAGUUACCGGCACGUCGGCCGGACGUAUUGUCGGCAGGCGGACACGUGUCUCGUGCUUCCCGGCGCGCCGCGCGGCCACGCGUCGCGCGGCCGUCGGUGUUCGACGACGGCGGCCGCCUACUCCAAUCUUGCUGCGCGGUGCUCUUCACCGAGUGCCGUCGGCGGGCCGACACGUUUUACUUUUGGAACAAAUUAGAGUGCUCAAAG